CUGAGCCAUGAAGUGCGUCUGGAUUCAGAGGCUGGCCGGGAUCAUCAUUCCGCCUGUCUGGAACUGAAGACCGUAAGGCUGAACAGUGUGAGAACAUUGUAUUCUUGUCAGGAAAGACAAUCAUUUGGAAAAAAGGACAGAAACCAGGUUUCUGAGUUAGCAAGACCUGGCUGAACCAGGGAGGAACCAAUCCCGGGGCUCCUCGCCCACCGCCUGUCCCUGCAGGGCAGCUGGGCUGCUCGGAGACCACCUUGUGUGCUGUGUCCAGUGCUGCUCGUCAUCAAAGCCUGGAGGAAGGAAAGAGGACGAAGGAAGGAAGAAAGAAAGGAGAUGCAACGCUGCAAUGGCCACUUUGGAAGGUACCGCCAGUAAAGCAGAAGUCUUAGCUGGUGGGCGGGCUCUGGCUGGAACGUCUUAGGGCUCCACCCCUAGGGCAACACGUCCUGCUUUGGGAAACAGCAGCUCCACACUGAGCAUGAACGAAAUUACUCCGGUGCCCAAGGUUGCCCUGGUGCAGAAUGGCCAAGAAGGGCCCCGCCCACAAACCAAGAACCCUCUGGGUUGUUCUCAACAGCGAC
Molecule: long non-coding RNA, 578 nt
Filed under: Mustela putorius furo (domestic ferret)
Lineage: Eukaryota; Metazoa; Chordata; Mammalia; Carnivora; Mustelidae
Description: lncRNA (ENSMPUG00000030309.1)
Source: RNAcentral